AAGCACUCCAGGCAAUCCUGUAUGUGCCCUGAUAUGUCCUAUAAAGAAUGGAUCUUUUCUGUCCCAGAUUAGACUUUGUAUAGUGGAAAGCAAAGAGAAAACAGUAGAGGAAGGGGAAAUCCUACCAGCAUCUUCAAGGGAUACUAUAGCAUUAACAAUAUACUGACUAUCGGAAAAUAAAUUAAAUACAGAAUCUUUAAACAUCACAAAAGCUUGUAAUACUGCAUUAAUCUCUACCUUUUGAGCUGACUGUUUGGGUACUAAAAAUGUAAAAGUUUGAUCAGCUGUAACUAUUUCUGCUGUACCACUAUUUGACCCAUCAGUGAAUAUAUUUGGAGCAUUCAUGAUAGGUGUUUUUCUUGUCAUUUUUGGAAAAAUUACAGGAUGCAAUGACCAAAAAGACAAUAAAGGAUUAGAUGGUAAGUGGUUAUCAAAUGAAAUAUUAGAUUUGCACAUGAUUAUUGCCCAAGUAUUUAACUCAUUAGCUAACUCAUCAAUUUGAUUCAUAGUGUAUGGAGUAAUAAUUUUAUUGGGAGAAAUUCCAAACACUCCCUUUGCUGCUUUUAUUCCUUUGAGUAUUAAUUGUCCUACAGCCUCAGGAUACCUAGUAAGAAUAGUGUUAGGAGAAUAAGAUAAAUGUAUCCAUAAUAAUGGACCUCCUUGCCAAAAUACUCCUGUAGGAAUAUUUUUUGUUGGUAGUACAAUAAAUAAUAAAGGCAAACUUAUAUCAAUUCUAUCUAAAUGCAUAUUUUGCAUAUAUGUUUCAAUGAUUUUUAAUGGCUUUCUUGCUUCUGGCGUUAACAUGCGUGGUGAAUUUGGAUGUGAUGGACCUUUUAGGAUAUCAAAUAAAGGUCCCAACUCUCCUGUUGGUAUACCUAGAUAAGGCCUUAUCCAAUUUUUGUCUCCUAAUAACUUGUGAAAGUCGUUAAGUGAUUUGAGUUGAUCUACUCGUAUUUGAAUUUUUGGUGGACGGACCAU
RNAcentral lists this long non-coding RNA (978 nucleotides) under Marmota monax (woodchuck). The record is from RNAcentral. Lineage: Eukaryota; Metazoa; Chordata; Mammalia; Rodentia; Sciuridae.